Molecule: ribosomal RNA, 460 nt
Filed under: uncultured bacterium
Lineage: Bacteria
Description: bacterial SSU rRNA
Rfam family: Bacterial small subunit ribosomal RNA
Source: RNAcentral
UAACACAUGCAAGUCGCGUGCGCAGUUUCCUGUAGCAAUACAGGGGAUGAGCGCACGGCGCACGGGUGCGUAACACGUGGGCAUCUGCCCUCCGAUGGGAAUAACCCCGCGAAAGCGGGGCUAAUACCGCAUAACAUUCCUUGGACGAUGGUCCGGGGAUUCAAAGCAGUAAUGCGUCGGAGGAGGAGCCCGCGCCCGAUUAGCUAGUUGGUGAGGUAACGGCUCACCAAGGCAAUGAUCGGUAGCUGGUCUGAGAGGAUGAUCAGCCACACUGGAACUGAGACACGGUCCAGACUCCUACGGGAGGCAGCAGUGGGGAAUCUUGCGCAAUGGGCGAAAGCCUGACGCAGCGACGCCGCGUGGGGGAUGAAGCUUCUCGGAGUGUAAACCCCUUUCGACUGGGACGAAUGCCCGCAAGGGAGUGACGGUACCAGUAGAAGAAGCCCCGGCUAACUACGUG